UCUUUUCUCUGAUAGACCCGAUCUCAAAACACUCCAUCCACCACCGUCGCGGCGGCGGAUCUACUAAGCAGAUCCAUUUCUCCUCUUUCACAAAGGGUCUCGUACACCGUUAAGAUCUUAUCUUUCACCGCAGGCCUUGAUCGAGUCAAGAACAUGAGCUUCAUUGUCAAGAAUGCUAUUGUGGAUCGGUUUACUCUUGGGAGGAGAAAUGAGCCACUGUUCGAUCCUAGUGCUUCUCGAUCGGUUUACUCGUGGGAGGAGAGAUGGGCCAGUGCUCGAUCUAGUGCUUGGGAGGAGAGAUUCUCGAUCGGGUUUACUCUUGGGACGAGAGAUGGGCCACAGCUCGAUCGGUAUAAUCUUGGGCAGCUGGGGCGGUUUAAUGGGUCUACAGUAGGCCUCUUGGGCAGAAAUCCAGAAGAUAUCUUCUCCUCUAGAAGAAAGACUUCUGGAGCAAGUUUCAGGAAGAAGCAAAAGCUGAUCUCUCUCUUGAGAUUCUGGAUGGUGCAAAAGAUAAUCUCAUUUCUUUCUGCGCCAAUUUCCACGAUGAGAGAUUUCCCACCGACUAAGUUCAUGUCUCUCGUGCUAGUUGUUAUAGCUUUGGAAGUUCAUCUAUAUUCAUGAGUAACUUCAUUAAAAAGCUUGAAGCUGCACAAGGCCAACAAGAUCCCAAAGCCAUAAUGAACAAGCAUUUCAAAGAUGUUAAGGAGAAGAUGAAGAAAAAGGCAAGAGGCAAACAGAGAGCCAGAGAUGAUGCGGCGGAAAAAGCAAAGUUGGAAGAGGAGAAGUCGGAAAAAGCUUCUCAGAGAGCCGCCUUAGUAGCAUCUCCGACUGUUGAAGAGAAUUUGGAGGCUUUGCGGAAGACGAGAGAGAAGAGUCAAGAGGUUGAGAAGAAACUUAAGGAAGAGAAAUCAAUGGAUUUGAAGAUUGCUAAAGCUAAAGAGGACCGUCAAAAGAAACGAGUUGUAUCUGGAAACAGACUCAAAGGGUGCAAGAUUGACGGUGAGUCUAUCAGAGGACAUAAAGGAGGCAACAGGAGCACAUGAAAUGUUCAAUUCGACUGGUUUAGGAGAUUGAGCUCAUAUCCCUUUUGUUUAUUCAAAUGUGAAAACAUAAGAACUGAACCUUUAACAAUUUGUGUUUUGUUGAUAGCUUUCUUGCAAGUUAGGAAAUAUGGACUAAAUGGAAUCUACUUUUGCCCCUAG
Molecule: RNA transcript, 1202 nt
Organism: Eutrema salsugineum
Lineage: Eukaryota; Viridiplantae; Streptophyta; Magnoliopsida; Brassicales; Brassicaceae
Gene name: inactive protein RESTRICTED TEV MOVEMENT 2
Exons: 5
Source: RefSeq, a predicted model, not a curated record